This 84-nucleotide transfer RNA is filed under the name Pseudonocardia sp. Its description in RNAcentral is "tRNA-Tyr". It matches the Rfam family "tRNA". Rfam says of the family: Transfer RNA (tRNA) molecules are approximately 80 nucleotides in length. Their secondary structure includes four short double-helical elements and three loops (D, anti-codon, and T loops). The record is from RNAcentral. Lineage: Bacteria; Bacillati; Actinomycetota; Actinomycetes; Pseudonocardiales; Pseudonocardiaceae. RNAcentral also lists the same sequence under 6 other names.
GGCGGGUUGCCCGAGCGGCCAAUGGGAGCGGACUGUAAAUCCGUCGCGAAAGCUACCCAGGUUCGAAUCCUGGACCCGCCACCA